Molecule: ribosomal RNA, 469 nt
Filed under: uncultured bacterium
Lineage: Bacteria
Description: partial 16S ribosomal RNA
Rfam family: Bacterial small subunit ribosomal RNA
Source: RNAcentral
GACGAACGCUGGCGGCGUGCUUAACACAUGCAAGUCGAACGGAAAGGCCCUGCUUUUGUGGGGUGCUCGAGUGGCGAACGGGUGAGUAACACGUGAGUAACCUGCCCUUGACUUUGGGAUAACUUCAGGAAACUGGGGCUAAUACCGGAUAGGAGCUCCUGCUGCACGGUGGGGGUUGGAAAGUUUCGGCGGUUGGGGAUGGACUCGCGGCUUAUCAGCUUGUUGGUGGGGUAGUGGCUUACCAAGGCUUUGACGGGUAGCCGGCCUGAGAGGGUGACCGGCCACAUUGGGACUGAGAUACGGCCCAGACUCCUACGGGAGGCAGCAGUGGGGAAUAUUGCACAAUGGGCGGAAGCCUGAUGCAGCAACGCCGCGUGCGGGAUGACGGCCUUCGGGUUGUAAACCGCUUUCAGCAGGGACGAAGCUUUUUGUGACGGUACCUGCAGAAGAAGCACCGGCUAACUACGUG